RNAcentral lists this ribosomal RNA (606 nucleotides) under Triticum aestivum (bread wheat). RNAcentral's name for it is "partial small subunit ribosomal RNA". The record is from RNAcentral. Lineage: Eukaryota; Viridiplantae; Streptophyta; Magnoliopsida; Poales; Poaceae.
AUGGUCAAUCUGUUGACCAAGGUUGUUAAUCAAAUAUUAUCUAGUAAAGGAGAAAGGGCUGCAGAUGUGGUAAUGCUAGCUGGUCCAAGCAAUGGUUUUCAUGUAGAAAUGAUUGUAGAAAGCCAGCCUCUAAACGGUUCUGAAUCUGACAGUAGACAGUCUUCCAUUCAGGAAACUGAAGAACAAUCCGAGGACAGAAAAAUGCUUAUGUCCAUGCUAUCCCUCACCAUGGUGAUAUGCAACAAAAAUGUGAUCAGCGCAGAUGAUUUUACCCGUGCCAUCCCUGACGAUGCAGCACUCGUGAAGAAGCUCAAGGAGAUAGUAGAAAUGCUUCAGGAUGCCACGACUGGCGGCUGGAGAAUGCUAAAGCUUGUUUGUCAGGUGGUUAUAGCAGUGGUUCAGCUCAAACCCAGCUGCACCAGAGAGUUCAAUGAACAUAACUUCAAGGAGGCACUGUCCAAGGCUCUUGCGAUCAUGUCGGGCAUCGACAACUGCAUGAUCUUUGCUGGCAAUGACCGUGAGGUGCCUGCCAAGUCUCUCGCUUCUCUUGUGAAAGAGGCACAGGAGCUCUUGGCACAAGAGCAGGGUGACAUAAUCUCUACCUGA